UUAGAGUUUGAUCCUGGCUCAGAAUCACGCUGGCGGCGUGCUUCAGACAUGCAAGUCGAACGCGAAAGUUUCCUUCGGGAGACGAGUAGAGUGCGCACGGGUGAGUAACACGUAGGUAAUCUACCUUUGAGUGGGGAAUAACGUUCGGAAACGGACGCUAAUACCGCAUAAUGCAGCGGCAUCUAUUGAUGACAGUUGUUAAAGGAGCAAUCCGCUUAAAGAGGAGCCUGCGGCAGAUUAGCUAGUUGGUAAGGUAAUGGCUUACCAAGGCUACGAUCUGUAUCCGACCUGAGAGGGUGGUCGGACACACUGACACUGAAUAACGGGUCAGACUCCUACGGGAGGCAGCAGUCGGGAAUUUUGGGCAAUGGGCGCAAGCCUGACCCAGCAACGCCGCGUGAAGGAUGAAGUCUUUCGGGAUGUAAACUUCGUAAGAAUGGGAAGAAUCAAUGACGGUACCAUUUGUAAGGUCCGGCUAACUACGUGCCAGCAGCCGCGGUAAUACGUAGGGACCAAGCGUUGUUCGGAUUUACUGGGCGUAAAGGGCGCGUAGGCGGCAGAUCAAGUCAGCUGUGAAAUCUCAGGGCUUAACCCUGAACGGUCAGCUGAUACUGUUUUGCUAGAGUACAGAAGGGGCAACCGGAAUUCUUGGUGUAGCGGUGAAAUGCGUAGAUAUCAAGAGGAACACCUGAGGCGAAGGCGGGUUGCUAGGCUGAUACUGACGCUGAGGCGCGAAAGCUAGGGUAGCAAACGGGAUUAGAUACCCCGGUAGUCCUAGCCCUAAACGAUGUAUGUUUGGUGUCUGGAGUUUCAAUUCUCUGGGUGCCGUCGCUAACGCUGUUAACAUACCGCCUGGGGAGUACGCACGCAAGUGUGAAACUCAAAGGAA
RNAcentral lists this ribosomal RNA (889 nucleotides) under uncultured Acidobacteriota bacterium. RNAcentral's name for it is "bacterial SSU rRNA". It matches the Rfam family "Bacterial small subunit ribosomal RNA", at positions 1 to 909 of the family's 1533-position model. Lineage: Bacteria; Pseudomonadati; Acidobacteriota. The record is from RNAcentral.